This 494-nucleotide ribosomal RNA is filed under the name uncultured bacterium. Its description in RNAcentral is "partial 16S ribosomal RNA". It matches the Rfam family "Bacterial small subunit ribosomal RNA", at positions 28 to 523 of the family's 1533-position model. The record is from RNAcentral.
GACGAACGCUGGCGGCGUGCUUAACACAUGCAAGUCGAGCGAUGAAAGCCUUAUGAACUAUUCGUAGUGAUUGGGGCCGGAUUAGCGGCGGACGGGUGAGUAACGCGUGAGCAACCUGCCUUAAACAACGGGAUAGCCUCGGGAAACCGGGAUUAAUACCGUAUGAGACCCCGCCUUCACAUGAAGAAGAGGUUAAAGAUUUAUCGGUUUAAGAUGGGCUCGCGUCUGAUUAGCUAGUUGGUGAGAUAAAAGCCCACCAAGGCAACGAUCAGUAACCGGCUUGAGAGAGUGAACGGUCACAUUGGAACUGAGACACGGGCCAAACUCCUACGGGAGUCAACAGUGGGGAAUAUUGCACAAUGGGGGAAACCCUGCUGCGGCGACGCCGCGUGAGCGAUGAAGGAAUUCGUUUCGUAAAGCUCUGUCCAAGUGGAAGUUAAUGACAGUACCCUUGGAGGAAGCCCCGGCUAAAUACGUGCCAGCCGCCGCCGUAA